RNAcentral lists this microRNA precursor (83 nucleotides) under Bombyx mori (domestic silkworm). RNAcentral's name for it is "mir-2807 microRNA precursor family". It matches the Rfam family "mir-2807 microRNA precursor family". Lineage: Eukaryota; Metazoa; Arthropoda; Insecta; Lepidoptera; Bombycidae. The record is from Rfam by way of RNAcentral.
UUAACUCAAAUUUGUAUGAAGUUGGAACGUUUGCCUACGUUUGCCGCUAGGGGCGCUGUUACAACGGCGUAUAAAUUGAGUUA